Molecule: ribosomal RNA, 537 nt
Filed under: uncultured organism
Description: bacterial SSU rRNA
Rfam family: Bacterial small subunit ribosomal RNA
Source: RNAcentral
UGCAAGUCGUGCGAGAAAGUACCCUUCGGGGUGCGAGUAGAGCGGCAAGCGGGUGAGUAACACGUAAGUAACCUACCUCUAAAUCUGGAAUAACUCUGCCAACGCGGAGCUAAUACCGGAUGUGGUCACGAUGCUGCAUGGUAUUGCGACUAAAGGUGACCUCUCCUUGGAAGUUACCGUUUAGAGAUGGGCUUGCGGACCAUUAGCUAGUUGGUGAGGUAACGGCUCACCAAGGCUACGAUGGAUAGCCGGCCUAAGAGGGUGAUCGGCCACAUUGGGACUGAGAUACGGCCCAGACUCCUACGGGAGGCAGCAGUAGGGAAUUUUGCGCAAUGGACGAAAGUCUGACGCAGCAACGUCGCGUGAGGGAUGACGGCCUUCGGGUUGUAAACCUCUGUUGAGUGGGAAGAAAAGCUUUGUGGUUAAUAUCCACAGAGUCUGACGGUACCACUCGAGGAAGCUCCGGCUAACUACGUGCCAGCAGCCGCGGUAAUACGUAGGGGGCUAGCGUUGUCCGGAAUCACUGGGCGUAAAGGG